CCACUCCCUCCCACACAGAAGCCCUGAGAGCACAGCCCCUCAGCAUGGACUGGAGCUGGAGCAUCCUCUUCUUGGUGGCAGUGGCUGCAGGUGUCUCCUCCGAGCUCCAGCUGGUGCAGUCUGGGGAUGAGGUGAGGAAGCCAGGGGAAUCCGUGAAGGUCUCCUGCAAGGCUUCUGGAGACAGCUUCACUUAUUACUCUAUGAGCUGGGUGCGACAGGCCCCUGGACAAGGGCUCGAGUGGAUGGGAGGGAUCUCUUCUGUAGUUGAUGAUGCAAGCUACGCGCAGAAGUUCCAGGGCAGAGUCACCAUGACUGCAGACAAGUCCACGAGCACAGUCUACAUGGAGCUGAGCAGUCUGACAUCCGAGGACACGGCCGUGUAUUACUGU
Equus quagga is the source of this 389-nucleotide non-coding RNA. Lineage: Eukaryota; Metazoa; Chordata; Mammalia; Perissodactyla; Equidae. The record is from the annotation of a RefSeq genome assembly.